UUCCUGGUUUGUCUAGUGGUAAGGAUUCGGCGCUCUCACGCGCGGCCGGGUUCGAUUCCCGGUCAGGUAA
Ameiurus melas (black bullhead) is the source of this 70-nucleotide non-coding RNA. NCBI's taxonomy places the organism in Eukaryota, Metazoa, Chordata, Actinopteri, Siluriformes, Ictaluridae. The record is from the annotation of a GenBank genome assembly.